UUAAAAUAUUUUGUAGCUCGUAUAAUUGCAAGAAUAUGGCUUGCGAGUCUCUACCGAGUCACCGUAAAUGACUCGACUACGGGUGAGGUA
RNAcentral lists this non-coding RNA (90 nucleotides) under Massilibacterium senegalense. RNAcentral describes it as "Purine riboswitch". It matches the Rfam family "Purine riboswitch aptamer". Rfam says of the family: Riboswitches are metabolite binding domains within certain messenger RNAs that serve as precision sensors for their corresponding targets. Lineage: Bacteria; Bacillati; Bacillota; Bacilli; Caryophanales; Bacillaceae. The record is from RNAcentral.